GACGAACGCUGGCGGCGUGCCUAAUACAUGCAAGUAGAACGCUGAAGGAGGAGCUUGCUUCUCUGGAUGAGUUGCGAACGGGUGAGUAACGCGUAGGUAACCUGCCUGGUAGCGGGGGAUAACUAUUGGAAACGAUAGCUAAUACCGCAUAAUAGUAGAUGUUGCAUGACAUUUGCUUAAAAGGUGCAAUUGCAUCACUACCAGAUGGACCUGCGUUGUAUUAGCUAGUUGGUGGGGUAACGGCUCACCAAGGCGACGAUACAUAGCCGACCUGAGGGGGUGAUCGGCCACACUGGGACUGAGACACGGCCCAGACUCCUACGGGAGGCAGCAGUAGGGAAUCUUCGGCAAUGGACGGAAGUCUGACCGAGCAACGCCGCGUGAGUGAAGAAGGUUUUCGGAUCGUAAAGCUCUGUUGUAAGAGAAGAACGAGUGUGAGAGUGGAAAGUUCACACUGUGACGGUAUCUUACCAGAAAGGGACGGCUAACUACGUG
RNAcentral lists this ribosomal RNA (495 nucleotides) under uncultured bacterium. Its description in RNAcentral is "partial 16S ribosomal RNA". It matches the Rfam family "Bacterial small subunit ribosomal RNA", at positions 28 to 507 of the family's 1533-position model. The record is from RNAcentral.